This is a long non-coding RNA of Actinia tenebrosa (Australian red waratah sea anemone), 368 nucleotides long. Lineage: Eukaryota; Metazoa; Cnidaria; Anthozoa; Actiniaria; Actiniidae. The record is from RefSeq and is a predicted model, not a curated record.
CAAAACCAUAGGAAUCCAAAUAUUCUUAGCCAACUGCUCACACCAUUUUCAGAAUCAGUUGGUUCGGAGUGAUUUCAUCACCAGCUUUGAUACCAGUGUUCUCUUCGUUUCAAUCCAUGAUGCUGUCAUUUAUACCGUAUCCAACGUCUCCCACAAGCUAAGAGAAACAAGAUGCUGAGGCGUGAAAAUAAAAGAAAUAAAAGAUAUUAACUCAUAUGUGCAUGCGCAGAAAGCCUUGACCCAUUUGUGAACGUGAUUAGCUACAUUUUUUUCUGACGUCACUUGAUUUGAAAGCAAGAAAAUCUAAGAGUACGUAUAUGAAAAGUAUAAGACAAGUAAUGAUUUAUUGCAUAUAUUUCUAUAUUGAA